This 253-nucleotide ribosomal RNA is filed under the name uncultured bacterium. Its description in RNAcentral is "partial 16S ribosomal RNA". It matches the Rfam family "Bacterial small subunit ribosomal RNA", at positions 524 to 776 of the family's 1533-position model. The record is from RNAcentral.
UACGUAGGUGGCAAGCGUUGUCCGGAUUUACUGGGCGUAAAGAGCGCGUAGGCGGUCGUUCAAGUCGGGUGUGAAAGCCCCCGGCUCAACUGGGGAGGGUCACGCGAUACUGAUCGACUCGAAGGCAGGAGAGGGAAGUGGAAUUCCCGGUGUAGUGGUGAAAUGCGUAGAUAUCGGGAGGAACACCAGUGGCGAAGGCGACUUCCUGGCCUGUUCUUGACGCUGAGGCGCGAAAGCUAGGGGAGCAAACGGG